Molecule: RNA transcript, 1864 nt
Organism: Folsomia candida
Lineage: Eukaryota; Metazoa; Arthropoda; Collembola; Entomobryomorpha; Isotomidae
Exons: 6
Source: RefSeq, a predicted model, not a curated record
GAAAUCUGGUUUCUAUAGGAUUCCCUAGAAACUUGGUGAUAUAUUGAUUUUCCACAUGUGUAAACGCAUAUAAACAAGUUUAUUCUCCCCUUUCUUAAAAACAUCACCUUUCCUCUCGGAUUUUUUUCCAGUUUUCUUAUAAAGUAAAGAAAAAUACAUGCAUUAAAUACACUUGGAACAUAAUGUUUGGCGCUAUUGGUGGGGUGACUGCGUGUGCAGCGGUGUAUUCCGGUCAUCCGAAUAGUUUCCCAUGUUCUAGUUUGGGUGGGAGUGGCAGUGGGAGUACGUUCGAAUUCAUUUCUACAGAAAUUUCACUGCCGAAUGGACGAGGACAGAAAGCAAUUUGUGGAAACUUAAAACUCACUCAGCAAAUUGGGUAUAAACUGAUUAAAAUUGACACUAAAAAAUUGGACAAUUGGCAUUAUUAUGCAAUCGUGGUCGAACUGCAGGGUCACGUCACAAACGCAAAAGGAGAGAAAUCAUGCACCUAUUUACGACAACUACUACCAGAGACGAAUUCAGGAUUGAUUUGCCGUUCGAAGAUUUUUUCAUUGGUGUCUGGCCAAGAAAAUGGAAUAAAGAAAGAACUCCAUCGUGAAGAACUUCAUCCAUUCAUUCUUGAACAAAAUCCGGCCUCGUUCCCGUUCAAAAUUCAACUGCCAGAACACAAUUCCCAACUUCCGUCCAGCGUAGAGUGUGGUCGUUUUCGUAUCGAAUACUUCUUAGUGCCCUAUCUCCGAAUCGCGGCUAUAUUGAACUUGACCGAAGGGCGCUCCCCAGAUUUCGCGGUCAUAAUUUAAUCUCGUUUCAAAAUGAGGGUGAAAAAAUUAGUUGGAUCAGGUCCACUAAAGAAAUUAGUGUAAUUUUCAGCUCUCCACAGGUCUUUUAUAGGCUUAAUUGCUUUAACCAAGGGAUCAUUUACGAUGUGAAUUUGCAAAUUUUUGCAGAAAAUUUAGACCAAGUUGAAAUAUCUUGUGGGGUCGCGGUCGUAUAAAAAAUUACGAGAGGAGGGAGAACUCUUAGAGAGUUGAUCAUCGAUUCUAAAUCAGAGUCGAAAACGGUGGGAGGACAAAACUUGGGAUUUUCUGGAAAGCUGUGGGACUCAAAGAGCAGAACUGGGGGUGACAAGGUUUUGCUGACUUCAUCUAACCAAGAUGGGGAGAUGGGGUUAAAAAUCCAGCAUUUUUUGAGGGGAAGAAUUUAAAUGUUCCGGGCUUAUUCAUGAUGAGGCCUUCAAUUGCUGGGUAACCAAUCUAGCAAGUGUUGCGAAAUACAGUUCAAGAUAGACUUUUCGGACGGAUUGUGCGACUCGAAAUUGCAAAAUUUGGAAGGAGAGGAGGAAAUAUUUUUUGGGACAGGAAGACUUGGGGACGACGUUGACGCCGUGGCGCCAGGAACAUUGUCCAGAAUAUUGAGAUCCCACUCCGUGUCCUCCCUGCUUUCUCUCUGGCCACCAUCCUAUUCUCGUGCAGUGUCACGGCGAGGAUCGUUAAUGUCGUUGGAAACAUGUCAGUUAUUGAGCAGUAUUUGCAAAGUAUUUAAAUAACUUUGAAGGUUGGGAACAAGCCUGUUGUACCAGUACCUCCACAUUAUGAGGAUUUAUGCUCUGGUGGAAAAGAUAAGGGGACCUAAUUGAUACGGAGGUUAUCUGUAUGAUGCGAAGACUAUUAAUAGCAGAUAAGCCUCUUGCGUACAAAUGAGACGAAUUUUGAGCGAAAUUGAAAUAUAGUCGGAUAUUAAAAACACAUGUACAAAUUACUGUAUGAGGAACGAUACAUUUUGAUUUUAUUGAACGUUUUAAAAGUUUAUACUAUAUGCUAUUCAUGCAUGUAUGUAAAUUAUAAGGUAAAAGUAUUACUAUUUA